UACGUAGGGUGCAAGCGUUGUCCGGAAUUAUUGGGCGUAAAGAGCUCGUAGGCGGUGUGUCGCGUCGGCCGUGAAAACCUGCAGCUUAACUGUGGGCUUGCGGUCGAUACGGGCAUCACUGGAGUUCGGCAGGGGAGACUGGAAUUCCUGGUGUAGCGGUGAAAUGCGCAGAUAUCAGAGGAACACCGGUGGCGAAGGCGGGUCUCUGGGCCGAUACUGACGUGGAGGAGCGAAAGCGUGGGGAGCGAACAGG
RNAcentral lists this ribosomal RNA (253 nucleotides) under uncultured bacterium. Its description in RNAcentral is "partial 16S ribosomal RNA". It matches the Rfam family "Bacterial small subunit ribosomal RNA", at positions 524 to 776 of the family's 1533-position model. The record is from RNAcentral.